GUGAAAAGAGCACAGCUUUUAGCACCAUAGUUUAUUUCCUUUGAAAUUUCAGCACCAUCCUGGCACUUACCUCACGCUCUUUUGGCUUUCAAAACUCUCUGAUGCAUUCAAGCAUGUAGUUAUUUAUAAAUAUAUAUAUGUGUAUAUAAAAGUGCUGACGUACAGUGCUGUCUACAUUAAUGAAAGCAGAGAACAUGAUUUAUAUUUUGUUGAGUAAACUCUAGUACUUUUGGAUAAAGAAGACUUUAGCAGGUACAAACGGCAGGCCAAAUCCUAAAGCUGUUUACUAGCCAUUAAUUCCAGGCUCAAUCCAGAAGCUCUUACUCAAGCAAAAUGCCUGCAAAGUAAUCGGAUGCUUUAUCUUCUUAUUCUUGAAUUUUGGAAGAGUGCUGUGUAAUUUUUUUUAAAUUGUGCAGGUUUCUAUCAGCCCUAUGUCAUCUCAUUCCUCAGGAGUGACUACUUGUGCAGUGUUGUAUUAUAUGGUAAAUCACCUGCAGCUGCAAUGUAUCACAGUAUGCUGCAGACAGUGUUUUUACAUUUUUACUUUAAUCAUUUGCAAUGAGUAACAGAUACUGUAAGUGGCAAAAUACUUUGUCUUGAAAAGUAGCCAUUGAAAUACUGCUACAAAAGUAACCAUAGAGUUUGGAAAAUGAUAUGGUACAAAAUAACCUAUUUUGUUACAUACAGUUUUAUUCAUUUCUGAAAAUGAUUGUUCUUUUGCAGGCAUGGAGAUCUGGAUAUCUUUCUAAUGUAAAAUUAAUAGGAAAUACUUCAAUUGUUCAAAUAGCUCUUAAAUGUAUUUUAGUUUUAUAACUGAUUGCAUAUUAUGUUUGCAGCCUUUGUGCAAAGCAGUGUUCAAUAGCAGAGUUUGCUCCAUAAUGAACACAGAUGAAGGCUGCUCUUUAUAGUAUCAAUCUAAAAAUCCAUGUGUAUUAAUAUAAUGCUGUUGAUGUUAAGUUGUCCUGUUGCUUGGAAUUGAUUGCCACAUUGCUUGGCACAUAGCUGUCAACUAAGAGAACUCCUUGCAACUCCAACUUAAGACUUAACACUUCCCAUUUAGAAAAUGACCUUACAAUUUAGUCAAAUGACUAGACUGCUGUGGAACAGCAGCUGUUGGUGGAAAGUUCUCAAAAUUGGCAUGGAUCACACACUGGUCUCUCUUUAAUUGCUGAUAUCGUUGCCUGUGAAUGCAGUGGUUGUCAAUGACUGUAAUUGCUUUAUAGUUCUCAGACCAUUCCCUAAUGGUUAGCAUUGACUUUUAGCUUUUAAGCUGAAAAUAUCUGAGGAUUAAUCUAUUGGUUUGUUUUGUGCAUUUUCUAGCAACUUUGUGUAAAUUGCUAAUUAUUAAUAACACCCUUGAGGCAUGAAAAUAAAUACUGUAACAUUCUCAUGAUGAAAUAUAUUUUCUUUUGAAAUCUCUGGGACCAUAUUUGGUGCAGUUGAUUUACAUAACUUGCCUGCAUAGUAUUGUGAAAGAGUAAAAUAAAACAGCUCAGCUGCACCUGCUGUCUUCGAGAUGUUUCUGAGUGCAGUCCCAGACAAGCAUGGGAUUUUUUUGUCAUCUCUUUGGCCCAUUGCCCACCUGCCCUGGACCACUGCAAAAUACAGUGCCUGAUCUCAUAAUUUUACCAUAAGGUAAAAUGACAAGUUCUCAGCAUGAUCUGCUACUUAAGUCUGGUUUUGUUAACAGUUCUAUGUUUGUCACUAAAGAAAUUAAAUCUGUCUGGAAGAUUGUCUACAGAGAGAUGACCAAAAUGUGGAAAAGAGGUGAGACUCCUCCUAGAGAUCUGCUGUUGCAUUUUUCAUGAGGAAUUCACAGAGGGGAGGCUGAUACUCUAGGGAUGAGCUUCUUCCCUCUGCUUGGUGCUCUAAGCAGCACAGUUCAGUAUUACAAGUACAAAGUAGAUGUGCAAAGGAAGCUGAAGGCAAGGGUGGAGAGAUGGCAUGUCCCUGUACUUUCAGUUUGCCAUUUGCAAUUUCUGUUUCCUUAGUGGACCUCUCUGGAGGCAAGCUGACAGGAAGCUCACUAAGCAAAAACAUCUAUGAAUUUGGGAGCUGGAGCCUUGGACAUUCUACCACAUUCCCAUGGACUUCUUCAAAAUGACAUAAUUUAGAAAAGAUUCUGCACUUACUAUUUCUCUUGAUUAAAUUAAGAAUUGAAAAAUGUAUGUAUUUUUUUUUAAUUUCUGUGGGAAUUUUUAUGUCCACUCCAGGUCUUGAAUAUCUUGCAGUUUAAAUAAGCAUCUAAAUGUUUUGUUUGAAAUAAAAAUAUGC
Long non-coding RNA from Pyrgilauda ruficollis (rufous-necked snowfinch), 2274 nucleotides. RefSeq lists it as uncharacterized. NCBI's taxonomy places the organism in Eukaryota, Metazoa, Chordata, Aves, Passeriformes, Passeridae. The record is from RefSeq and is a predicted model, not a curated record. The transcript is spliced from 3 exons.